Molecule: long non-coding RNA, 2200 nt
Filed under: Anas platyrhynchos platyrhynchos (common mallard)
Lineage: Eukaryota; Metazoa; Chordata; Aves; Anseriformes; Anatidae
Description: lncRNA (ENSAPLG00000018266.1)
Source: RNAcentral
AAUGAAUCGGAUGCUCCUAAAAUGAGCAUGGUAGUGCCAAGUAUUAAAAGAAGAGUUUAAAAGAGGGAGGAAUUUUACAAAAACGAUAAAUGGGGACUUCUGCCUCCUUCACCUUAGCCAGCUAUGGUGGAGUCACAAAGCCAGGAAUGGAGAAGGAAGCAUGGGAGCAGAGAAAUGUGACACAAAGCAGUGUGGUGAAAGGGCAAGUCAGGAGAAGCACUUUGGUCUGAACAGGCAUCCUUCCUUUUCCAGCCCCAGGGGUGCCCUGAGCAUUGGUGCCCUGAGCAUUGCUAUGCUCCCUUGGGCACUGCACCAAUGGGACCUCGGAUCUGGCCCUCACUCUCAGUGUCAUUUCAUCUCCUCUGUGAGCUGCUUGGGCAGGCUUUUCAAGACUCUGACUUCGUUGCUGGUGACACGAUGCCUACACUACACAACAGUACUCUUCCCUGCCCUCCAUCCCCCAGCAAAAGGGCUACCUAUAGAAGCUGCAUGGUACUGACCUGGUCGUUAUCGGGUAUAACCAUACACACAUAAGUGCAAUGGGGACAACAAAGGCAAUAAGGGCAAAAAACAGAUUGAAGCGAUGGCCUGGAAAUUUGCUUACAGAAAGAAAAGGCACAGAGCUCUCUUGUAGGUUGUAUUCUGGGGAAAAUCCAUGCUUUGGCCAGGAAAGUCCAAGCCUAGAUGUCCACUUACAGGCAGUGUAGGGGGGUGGGGUUUAAAUAACUCUGUAAGUAUUGCACUAGGGAAAAAGAUUUGAGCAUGUGGUUAGUGGGUCUGGUGUGCAUUUUUAAUCCGUUUUCCUAAAAAGGGGGAAGAUACCUCUGGUGCUGUCCAGCUGAAGAUCAGCCGCACCUGGCAUCUUCAUGGCCACAAGUGUGGAAGCCUGGAUGUGGGACUGUGGGGGCAGCAGAACGCAAAGGGGGCUGAGGGCUCUGCUGUGGUGCUGUCUCAUCGGGCAUCUCACUUGUGCUUUGCAGGAGCAAUGCAGGGAAGGGCUGAAGAUGCUGAGAGAUGAUACGAGUGUGCGUUAUGGUCCUGAAAUGCUGUUUGGGUGCAUGAAACAGGGAGAAAUACCUGAAGGGAGUAUCCAGCUGCACGUUCUUUUCCCUUCUUUUUCCAGCUUUCAGCUGAACUGCAAAGCCAAGGGGGUCUGCUAAGAGCCUGGGCCCGUCCAUUUGUCUCUCCCCCUACUUCUCUGUCCCUAACCCCCCUCUCUCUCCCCUCCCGCAGCUCGGGAGGGUGGAGGUGCGAUUCGCUAUGCCAGUUUUUUAUUUCCAGCAUGCUUGACAGGCUGGGCGAGGAAGGCGUUAAUGUUUUCUGACAGGCCCCCUCUAAUUGUUGGAGCUUUUCUUCUCUGCCUUUUCUGUGAAAUUCUGACUUAGGCGAGCAGCAUAACAAAAUGCUCUGGCAUUGAAAUGUGCGCUUGCACUACACUGGGCUCGGGGAAACAGCAUUAUUCAUGAAGAUUUUCAGCUGUUUUUGUCUUUUAACUAACCUUUGAGUUUGAUCAGAGGCUAGCCGGGCUCCCUUUCUCAAAAGGCGGUCUUGGCAACCCGACAAUGGAGCCAAACUGUUUUCCCUGUUAAAGAGAUAACUAUGCCGUUGAGUUGGUACAUGGGGGAAAUUAAUCUUCAGGCGCAUACAAAUGAUAGGUUUACCUCGGUCUGCAAUCGCCUGCAUGGGAUUAUUAAUAGGACGCGGGUAAGGAGCAGGAAAAAUUCAGUCUGGGGCAGGGAACUUGGGGGAAGAAGAAGAAGAAAAAAAAAAUCCCAAACCCAAACCCAUCAUCCCUUUUGAUUGCAUAAAGCCUGCGAUUGAUUCCUCACCACUUGCCUUUUGCAGCAGGAAUUAGCUGUGCAUUGUGCGGGCUGACACGCUAAAAGCGAGCCCGCUUGGGAGCAAGAAGUUGCUGCGCGCUGGGACGGAGCGGGGUGGCGGCCGGGGGCGGGGGGCUCUCCCCGCUCCCCUUUGCAAAGGGCGGAGGUGUUGGGGGGGGUGGAGGGGUGGAGGAGGCAGAGAAUGCCCCCUGCCCUUCAAGGCGAGCUAAUCCCUGAAUGCACUGAGUAACAGGCGCUGCAUUAUGGAGCCCCCCAGUCCCCUCGGCGCUGCAGCGCCCGCCUGCCCUUGGGCAGGUGCCCGCUUACCGGGGGGAAAAACAACAAAAAAGGGAAAAUAAAGUUUUAUAAAAGGCUCCCCA